GCUCCCAUAGCUCAGCUGGUAGAGCGCUUCCAUGGUAAGGAAGAGGUCACCGGUUCAAGUCCGGUUGGGAGCUCCA
This 76-nucleotide transfer RNA is filed under the name Calditerricola satsumensis. Its description in RNAcentral is "tRNA-Thr". It matches the Rfam family "tRNA". Rfam says of the family: Transfer RNA (tRNA) molecules are approximately 80 nucleotides in length. Their secondary structure includes four short double-helical elements and three loops (D, anti-codon, and T loops). Lineage: Bacteria; Bacillati; Bacillota; Bacilli; Caryophanales; Bacillaceae. The record is from RNAcentral.